AACCUAGCACACCUGCGGUGUGUACCUGCGGAGGGAUCAUUAUUGAUUUUACUUGGAUGUGCUGGCCCUCGUCUUUUCGGAGGGGGGGGGCAUGUGCACUCCAUCCCAAUCCCAAUAUCAUCCACCUUUGUGCACUCCCCAGUAGGCACCGAGACCUUGCCGGUCUUCUUGUCUAUGUACCUUUUACGCACGCUUUUUUCUGAAUUAUUGGAAUGCAAUGCAUAUAUACUUGACACAACU
Molecule: unclassified non-coding RNA, 240 nt
Filed under: soil metagenome
Description: partial contains 5.8S ribosomal RNA, internal transcribed spacer 2, and large subunit ribosomal RNA
Source: RNAcentral